UGUAAACAUGUCACUCCCGAUAUAAUGAUGUAAAGUAUACAGUUAACUCAUUUGUAAGAUUAAAUAUAAUUCUGUCGAUGCAUUCGUAGUAAGAUAUCACAUAAUGCAAUAAUAUAUAGUAACAAUCUAAGGUGUAUUCACACGCAAACAUGCAGCAUUGCCUGGAAGCACCCAUGAUGCCCAAGUGUUUAGAAUGUCAGUACUAAGUGAUACUUUGGAGGCUCAUCAUCAUGUUUUGCAUGAUAAAGCCAAGGCGUGGGGUGAGAUGAAAGAAUUCUUAGAGGGAGAAGACCAUCGACCUCAUGCACUUAUCUAGCUUGAGUAACCCUGUUUGGCAAGCUAUCAUGGAUGCAAUAACCGCUAACAUUUUCAGAUGAAUUGAUGAAAACGGCUGUCUGGACAAAUAAAUCCUUCACAAUUUUUCUUUUGCAAACGCCAUCAGGUGCGUUGUUUGCUGGAACAAUACUUUUUGCGUCUUCAUCAGCAUCAACUGUUCCUUCUUGCCGUCAAUGGAACCAGCAUAAUAGACCAUCUGAAGUUCCUUCAGGGUCCCCUCUUUUCUGAUUUAUUGGA
This is a long non-coding RNA of Dreissena polymorpha, 573 nucleotides long. RefSeq lists it as uncharacterized. The transcript is spliced from 4 exons. The record is from RefSeq and is a predicted model, not a curated record. NCBI's taxonomy places the organism in Eukaryota, Metazoa, Mollusca, Bivalvia, Myida, Dreissenidae.